This 1275-nucleotide ribosomal RNA is filed under the name metagenome. Its description in RNAcentral is "SSU rRNA". It matches the Rfam family "Eukaryotic small subunit ribosomal RNA", at positions 528 to 1823 of the family's 1831-position model. The record is from RNAcentral.
AAUCCUUUAACGAGGAUCUAUUGGAGGGCAAGUCUGGUGCCAGCAGCCGCGGUAAUUCCAGCUCCAAUAGCGUAUAUUAAAGUUGUUGUGGUUAAAAAGCUCGUAGUUGGAUCUCAGUUCGAGUCAGGCGGUCCACUUGCCAGUGGCUACUGCCUGACUGAACACUUUACCGAGUUGUCCUAUGGUGUUCUUCACCGAGCGUCAUAGGCGAUCGGUACGUUUACUUUGAAAAAAUUAGAGUGCUCAAAGCAGGCGUAACGCCCGAAUAAUGUUGCAUGGAAUAAUGGAAUAGGACCUCGGUUCUAUUCUGUUGGUCUUCGGAAUCAGAGGUAAUGAUCAAUAGGGACAGACGGGGACAUUCGUAUUGCGGCGCUAGAGGUGAAAUUCUUGGACCGUCGCAAGACGAACUAAAGCGAAAGCAUUUGUCAAGAAUGUUUUCAUUAAUCAAGAACGAAAGUAGAGGUUCGAAGGCGAUCAGAUACCGCCCUAGUUCUAACCAUAAACGAUGCCAACCAGUAAUUCGUCUGAGUUCCUUAAAUGACUCGACGAGGGACUUCCGGGAAACCAAAGUCUUUCGGUUCCAGGGGAAGUAUGGUUGCAAAGCUGAAACUUAAAGAAAUUGACGGAAGGGCACCACCAGGAGUGGAGCCUGCGGCCUAAUUUGACCCAACACGGGAAAACUCGCCCGGCCCGGACACUGGAAGGAUUGACAGAUUGAGAGCUCUUUCUUGAUUCAGUGGGUGGUGGUGCAUGGCCGUUCUUAGUUGGUGGAGUGAUUUGUCUGGUUAAUUCCGAUAACGAACGAGACUCUAGCCUACUAAAUAGAUCGUCGGCUUACAAACGCCGGCGAGACUUCUUAGAGGGACAGGCGGUGAUUCAACCGCACGAAACAGAGCAAUAACAGGUCUGUGAUGCCCUUAGAUGUCCGGGGCCGCACGCGCGUUACACUGAAGUGAUCAGCGUGCUUUUUCAACCUACUCUGUCAAGAGUGGGGAACCCAAUGAACCUUCUUCGUGAUUGGGAUAGGGGAUUGUAAUUAUUCCCCUUGAACGAGGGAUUCCCAGUAAGCGCGAGUCAUAAGCUCGCGUUGAUUACGUCCCUGCCCUUUGUACACACCGCCCGUCGCUACUACCGAUUGAAUGUUUUAGUGAGGUCUUCGGACUGGCCGGCGCAGCACUCUCGUAGUGCAGCGCUGUGUUUGGAAAGAUGCCCAAACUUGAACAUUUAGAGGAAGUAAAAGUCGUAACAAGGUUUCCGUAGGUGAACCUGCGGAAG